This 446-nucleotide ribosomal RNA is filed under the name uncultured bacterium. RNAcentral describes it as "partial 16S ribosomal RNA". It matches the Rfam family "Bacterial small subunit ribosomal RNA", at positions 329 to 792 of the family's 1533-position model. The record is from RNAcentral.
GCCCAGACUCCUACGGGAGGCAGCAGUGGGGAAUAUUGCACAAUGGGGGAAACCCUGAUGCAGCAACGCCGCGUGAGUGAGGAAGUAUUUCGGUAUGUAAAGCUCUGUCAGCAGGGAAGAGAAUGACGGUACCUGACCAAGAAGCCCCGGCUAAAUACGUGCCAGCAGCCGCGGUAAUACGUAUGGGGCAAGCGUUAUCCGGAUUUACUGGGUGUAAAGGGAGCGUAGGCGGCAGGGCAAGCCUGAUGUGAAAGCCCGGGGCUCAACCCCGGGACUGCAUUGGGAACUGCCCCGCUCGAGUGCCGGAGGGGCAGGCGGAAUUCCUAGUGUAGCGGUGAAAUGCGUAGAUAUUAGGAGGAACACCAGUGGCGAAGGCGGCCUGCUGGGCUUUAACUGACGCUGAGGUUCGAAAGCGUGGGUAGCAAACAGGAUUAGAUACCCGUGUA